AUUGAACGCUGGCGGCAUGCUUUACACAUGCAAGUCGAACGGCAGCGCGGGCUUCGGCCUGGCGGCGAGUGGCGAACGGGUGAGUAAUACAUCGGAACGUGCCCAGUAGUGGGGGAUAGCUCGGCGAAAGCCGGAUUAAUACCGCAUACGACCUGAGGGUGAAAGCGGGGGAUCUUCGGACCUCGCGCUAUUGGAGCGGCCGAUGGCAGAUUAGCUAGUUGGUGGGGUAAAGGCCUACCAAGGCGACGAUCUGUAGCUGGUCUGAGAGGACGACCAGCCACACUGGGACUGAGACACGGCCCAGACUCCUACGGGAGGCAGCAGUGGGGAAUUUUGGACAAUGGGCGAAAGCCUGAUCCAGCAAUGCCGCGUGUGUGAUGAAGGCCUUCGGGUUGUAAAGCACUUUUGGCGGGAACGAAAAGGACUGUGCCAAUACCACGGUUCGAUGACGGUACCCGCAGAAUAAGCACAGGCUAACUACGUG
Molecule: ribosomal RNA, 484 nt
Filed under: uncultured bacterium
Lineage: Bacteria
Description: partial 16S ribosomal RNA
Rfam family: Bacterial small subunit ribosomal RNA
Source: RNAcentral